This 68-nucleotide transfer RNA is filed under the name Diporiphora magna. Its description in RNAcentral is "tRNA-Ile". Lineage: Eukaryota; Metazoa; Chordata; Lepidosauria; Squamata; Agamidae. The record is from RNAcentral.
GGAAGCGUGCCUGAAACAUAAGGACUACUUUGAUAAAGCAGACAUGGAACUAAAUUAUUCCCACUUCC